RNAcentral lists this ribosomal RNA (398 nucleotides) under uncultured bacterium. RNAcentral's name for it is "bacterial SSU rRNA". It matches the Rfam family "Bacterial small subunit ribosomal RNA", at positions 30 to 429 of the family's 1533-position model. The record is from RNAcentral.
AUUGAACGCUGGCGGCAUGCCUUACACAUGCAAGUCGAACGGCAGCACGGGAGCUUGCUCCUGGUGGCGAGUGGCGAACGGGUGAGUAAUACAUCGGAACGUACCCUGAAGUGGGGGAUAACGUAGCGAAAGUUACGCUAAUACCGCAUAUUCUGUGAGCAGGAAAGAGGGGGAUCGCAAGACCUCUUGCUUUAGGAGCGGCCGAUGUCGGAUUAGCUAGUUGGUGAGGUAAAGGCUCACCAAGGCGAUGAUCCGUAGCGGGUCUGAGAGGAUGAUCCGCCACACUGGGACUGAGACACGGCCCAGACUCCUACGGAGGCAGCAGUGGGGAAUUUUGGACAAUGAGCGCAAGCCUGAUCCAGCCAUGCCGCGUGAGUGAAGAAGGCCUCGGUUGUAAA